AUUGAACGCUGGCGGCAGGCCUAACACAUGCAAGUCGAACGAGUGGCGGACGGUGAGUAAUGUCUGGGAAACCGCCCGCUGGAGGGGGAUAACUACUGGGAACGGUAGCUAAUACCGCACACCACCCAGUGUGCCCCGAUGGGAUUAGCUAGUAGGUGGGGUAACGGCGCACCUAGGCGACGAUCCCUAGCUGGUCUGAGAGGAUGACCAGCCACACUGGAACUGAGACACGGUCCAGACUCCUACGGGAGGCAGCAGUGGGGAAUAUUGCACAAUGGGCGCAAGCCUGAUGCAGCCAUGCCGCGUGUAUGAAGAAGGCCUUCGGGUUGUAAAGUACUUUCAGCGGGGAGGCGUUACCCGCAGAAGAAGCACCGGCUAACUCCGUGCCAGCAGCCGCGGUAAUUC
RNAcentral lists this ribosomal RNA (405 nucleotides) under uncultured bacterium. RNAcentral describes it as "partial 16S ribosomal RNA". It matches the Rfam family "Bacterial small subunit ribosomal RNA", at positions 30 to 526 of the family's 1533-position model. The record is from RNAcentral.